Molecule: ribosomal RNA, 479 nt
Filed under: uncultured bacterium
Lineage: Bacteria
Description: bacterial SSU rRNA
Rfam family: Bacterial small subunit ribosomal RNA
Source: RNAcentral
UGCAAGUCGAGCGAAUGAUGAGAAGCUUGCUCUUCUGAUUAGCGGCGGACGGGUGAGUAACACGUGGGCAACCUACCCUAUAGAUUGGGAUAACACAGGGAAACCUGUGCUAAUACCGAAUAAUACAUUUUCUUUCAUGAGAAGAUGUUGAAAGAUGGUUUCGGCUAUCACUAUAGGAUGGGCCCGCGGCGCAUUAGCUAGUUGGUGAGGUAAUGGCUCACCAAGGCAACGAUGCGUAGCCGACCUGAGAGGGUGAUCGGCCACACUGGGACUGAGACACGGCCCAGACUCCUACGGGAGGCAGCAGUAGGGAAUCUUCCACAAUGGGCGAAAGCCUGAUGGAGCAAUGCCGCCGUGAGUGAUGAAGGAUUUCGGUUCGUAAAACUCUGUUGUAAGGGAAGAACAAGUAGCGUAGUAACUGGCGUUACCUUGACGGUACCUUAUUAGAAAGCCACGGCUAACUACGUGCCAGCCGCUGC